Molecule: ribosomal RNA, 471 nt
Filed under: uncultured Anoxybacillus sp.
Lineage: Bacteria; Bacillati; Bacillota; Bacilli; Caryophanales; Anoxybacillaceae
Description: bacterial SSU rRNA
Rfam family: Bacterial small subunit ribosomal RNA
Source: RNAcentral
UUGACGGGGCCCGCACAAGCGGUGGAGCAUGUGGUUUAAUUCGAAGCAACGCGAAGAACCUUACCAGGUCUUGACAUCCCUGACAACCCGAGAGAUCGGGCGUUCCCCUUCGGGGGACAGGGUGACAGGUGGUGCAUGGUUGUCGUCAGCUCGUGUCGUGAGAUGUUGGGUUAAGUCCCGCAACGAGCGCAACCCUCGACCUUAGUUGCCAGCAUUCAGUUGGGCACUCUAAGGUGACUGCCGGCUAAAAGUCGGAGGAAGGUGGGGAUGACGUCAAAUCAUCAUGCCCCUUAUGACCUGGGCUACACACGUGCUACAAUGGGCGGUACAAAGGGUCGCGAACCCGCGAGGGGGAGCCAAUCCCAAAAAGCCGCUCUCAGUUCGGAUUGCAGGCUGCAACUCGCCUGCAUGAAGCCGGAAUCGCUAGUAAUCGCGGAUCAGCAUGCCGCGGUGAAUGCGUUCCCGGGUCUU